GCAAAACGCGAAGAACCUUACCAGGCCUUGACAUGCAGAGAACUUUCCAGAGAUGGAUUGGUGCCUUCGGGAACGUCUGACACAGGUGCUGCAUGGCUGUCGUCAGCUCGUGUCGUGAGAUGUUGGGUUAAGUCCCGUAACGAGCGCAACCCUUGUCCUUAGUUACCAGCACGUCGUGGUGGGCACUCUAAGGAGACUGCCGGUGACAAACCGGAGGAAGGUGGGGAUGGACGUCAAGUCAUCAUGGCCUUACGGCCUGGGCUACACACGUGCUACAAUGGUCGGUACAGAGGGUUGCCAAGCCGCGAGGUGGAGCUAAUCUCACAAAACCGAUCGUAGUCCGGAUCGCAGUCUGCAACUCGACUGCGUGAAGUCGGAAUCGCUAGUAAUCGC
RNAcentral lists this ribosomal RNA (393 nucleotides) under uncultured bacterium. RNAcentral's name for it is "bacterial SSU rRNA". It matches the Rfam family "Bacterial small subunit ribosomal RNA", at positions 954 to 1345 of the family's 1533-position model. The record is from RNAcentral.